This 253-nucleotide ribosomal RNA is filed under the name uncultured bacterium. RNAcentral describes it as "partial 16S ribosomal RNA". It matches the Rfam family "Bacterial small subunit ribosomal RNA", at positions 524 to 776 of the family's 1533-position model. The record is from RNAcentral.
UACGGAGGGGGCUAGCGUUGUUCGGAAUUACUGGGCGUAAAGCGCGCGUAGGCGGCUUUGUAAGUUAGAGGUGAAAGCCCGGGGCUCAACCCCGGAACUGCCUUUAAGACUGCAUCGCUAGAAUCCAGGAGAGGUGAGUGGAAUUCCGAGUGUAGAGGUGAAAUUCGUAGAUAUUCGGAAGAACACCAGUGGCGAAGGCGGCUCACUGGACUGGUAUUGACGCUGAGGUGCGAAAGCGUGGGGAGCAAACAGG